RNAcentral lists this ribosomal RNA (433 nucleotides) under uncultured bacterium. RNAcentral's name for it is "partial 16S ribosomal RNA". It matches the Rfam family "Bacterial small subunit ribosomal RNA", at positions 29 to 507 of the family's 1533-position model. The record is from RNAcentral.
AACGAACGCUGGCGGCAUGCCUAACACAUGCAAGUCGAACGAGACCUCCGGGUCUAGUGGCGCACGGGUGCGUAACGCGUGGGAACCUGCCCUUAGGUUCGGAAUCACUCCCCGAAAGGGGUGCUAAUACCGGUUAAUGUCUUCGGACCAAAGAUUUAUCGCCUUUGGAUGGGCCCGGGUUGGAUUAGCUAGUUGGUAGGGUAAAAGCCUACCAAGGCGACGAUGCAUAGCUGGUCUGAGAGGAUGAUCAGCCACACUGGCACUGAGACACGGCCCAGACUGCUACGGGAGGCAGCAGUGGGGAAUAUUGGGGAAUGGGCGAAAGCCUGAUCCAGCAAUGCCGGGUGAGUGAUGAAGGCGUUAGGGUUGUAAUGCUCUUUUACCCGGGAUGAUAAUGACGGUACCGGGAGAAUAAGCUCCGGCUAACUCCGUG